UACGAAGGGGGCUAGCGUUGUUCGGAAUCACUGGGCGUAAAGCGCACGUAGGCGGACUUUUAAGUCAGGGGUGAAAUCCCGGGGCUCAACCCCGGAACUGCCUUUGAUACUGGAAGUCUUGAGCCGAGAGAGGUGAGUGGAACUCCGAGUAUAGAGGUGAAAUUCGUAGAUAUUCGGAAGAACACCAGUGGCGAAAGGCGGCUCACUGGCUCGGUACUGACGCUGAGGUGCGAAAGCGUGGGGAGCAAACAGGAUUGAGAUACCCGGAGUCC
RNAcentral lists this ribosomal RNA (272 nucleotides) under uncultured bacterium. RNAcentral describes it as "partial 16S ribosomal RNA". It matches the Rfam family "Bacterial small subunit ribosomal RNA", at positions 524 to 796 of the family's 1533-position model. The record is from RNAcentral.